GGGUGUAUUUGAGUAUCUGGCUGAUGUGUUGAAAAUAAAUCGUCCUGCAGGGUCGGGCAGGUAUUUUGAACGCUGCUUUAGUAACCUGUUUUAUGACUUGGUGUCAGGAUGUUUGUUGUCAAUAUCUUGGUUAGAGUCCAAGAAAAGACAUUUUCAGUUCUUCAGAAAGUUAUCUGAAUAUCUUACCAUGUGAAAAGCACUUGUUUAAAAAGUCUCAGUUAAACUGAUUUCAUGAACAAUGGUUUUGUUAUGGACAUGGAAGAAUGAAUGAAGAAAUAUUGAUUAUUAUCAUUGUGGUCAUAAUGUGUUGGUGACAAUACUUUAAUGACCAUAUUCUGUGAGUCUGUUGUAUGUAUUUAGGUUAUUUAAGUGCUGCAUACCAAAAUAUACACUGUGUUAGUACCGGUAAAUUUCUCUGUAUGAAUGCUUGUAGAACAGAUGUAUGUUAUUACCGGUAAAUAUCUCCGUAUCAACACUUAUAGGAUAGGUCAAUGUUAUUACUGGUAAAUAUCUCCGUAUCAACACUUAUAGGAUAGGUCAAUGUUAUUACUGGUAAAUAUCUCCAUAUCAACACUUAUAGGAUAGGUCAAUGUUAUUACUGGUAAAUAUCUCC
Molecule: long non-coding RNA, 613 nt
Filed under: Haliotis rubra (blacklip abalone)
Lineage: Eukaryota; Metazoa; Mollusca; Gastropoda; Lepetellida; Haliotidae
Description: uncharacterized LOC124269833, transcript variant X2
Source: RNAcentral